AUGGAAUGGGACCAACUGUUAGCUCCUCUAGUUUCUCAGCACAAGGGAAGCAAAGUUUUGGUAACUUCUCGAUGGGAUACAUUUCCUUCCGCUCUUUACUGUGAAAAGGUGCUCCGUUUGGAAAGCAUGAAAGACGCUCAGUUCUUGGCACUCUUCAAAUACUAUGCCUUCACUGGAGCACAAAUCAGAGAUCCUCCCUUGCUUGAAAGGCUAGAAGAGAUUGCAGAGGAGAUAGUUAAGAGGCUUGGACAGUCUCCUUUGGCUGCAAAAGUUGUUGGUUCCCAGUUGAAAGGGAAAAUGAAUGUCCCUGCCUGGAAAGAUGCUCUGACUUUAAAGAUUGACAACUUAAGUGAGCCCAGAACAGCUCUGCUGUGGAGUUAUCAGAAGUUAGAUCGACGUCUUCAGAGGUGCUUUGUAUAUUGCAGCUUGUUUCCGAAAGGACACAAGUAUAACAUUGAUGAGUUGGUUCACCUGCUGAUAGCAGAGGGGCUUGUUGAUCCAUGCAACCAGAAAAGGAGAAUGGUAGAUGUUGGAAAGGAUUACCUCAAUGAGAUGGUUUCUGGGUCUUUCUUGCAACCAUUUUCUGAAAGUUCUAUGGACACAUGCUACAUUAUGCAUGAUCUUCUUCAUGAUUUGGCAGAAUCGCUCUCUAAAGAUGAUUGCUUCAGAUUAGAAGAUGAUAGGGUGACAGAAAUACCAUGCACUGUUCGUCAUCUGUCUGUUCGUGUUGAGAGUAUGAAACAACAUCAGCGCAGUAUCUGCAGGCUACAUCAUUUGCGCACUGUUAUCUGUAUCGACCCACUUACUGAUGAUGUGAGUGAUCUUUUCCGUCAGGUACUGCAAAACUUGAAGAAGUUACGUGUACUCUAUUUGUGCUUCUACAAUAGUGACAAGCUACCUGAAUCUGUUGGUGAGCUGAAGCACCUUCGGUAUUUAAACCUCAUUAGAACUUCCAUUGCCGAAUUGCCUGGAUCAUUAUGUGUUCUUUACCACCUACAGUUACUUCUGUUAAACCAUAAAGUCAAGAGUUUGCCUCACAAACUCUGCAAAUUAAGCAAGUUAUGGCAUCUCGAAGGGUAUCAUGAUCUGGGAUACAGGAUGUGUGAAGUAGCUCUGCCUCAAAUCCCUUAUAUAGGCAGGCUAACUUCGCUCCAGCAUGUUAAAGAAUUUUGUGUGCAAAAGCAGAAGGGAUGUGAGUUGCAACAGCUUAGAGACAUGAAAGAGCUUGGUGGCAGUUUAAGAGUCAGAAACCUGGAGAAUGUCACUGGAAAGGAUGAAGCCUUAGAGUCAAAGCUGUAUCAGAAAAUUAAUCUGGGAAGCUUGGCCCUUGUCUGGAGUUGCAAUAAUCGCAUGAAUGCAGAUGGUAGUUUACAGUUGGAGAUUCUAGAAGGUUUGAUGCCACCGCCUCAACUGAAAGGCCUUGAAAUCAAGGGUUACAAAUCUGAGACGUAUCCAAGUUGGUUACUUGAUGGUUCGAAUUUUGAGAAUUUGGAAUCUUUUAAGCUUGUUGAUUGCAGUGCAUUAGAAGGCCUGCCACUCAACACCAAGCUCUUCAGGCAUUGCUCUGAACUGGAACUCGAGAAUGUCUGGAGUCUGAAAACAUUAUCUUAUCUUCCAGCAGCCCUCACAUGCUUGUCAAUUGGCAGUUGCCCACUGCUUACGUUUAUUGCCAGUGAUGAGCUAGAUCUGCAUGAUCAGAGGGAGAACAUCAUGAGAGCAGACUACUUGGCAUCACAACUUGCUUCGAUAUGGGAGGUGGAUUCCGAAUGGGAAAUUAAGAGAAUAUUAACGUCACAACAUUCAUCUCUGAAGCAAAUGAUGACAUUAAUGGAUUCUGAUAUGUCACAUCUUCAAACCAUUGCAAGUGCUGUAGAAAGAGAUAAUGACGAGGUAAUACUGACAGAUGAUAUCAUUAAGGCAUGGAUAUGUUGCCAUGAACAGAGGAUGAGAUUCAUUUAUGGAAGAAGCAUCGGCUUGCCAUUGGUUCCACCAUCAGGUCUUUGUCACCUUCAUCUUUCUUCAUGCAGUAUUACAAAUAGGGCAUUAGCUGUUUGCCUUGACGGUCUCACGUCACUGAGAUGUUUGGUCUUAAUGGAGAUCAUGACUUUAAGUACACUUCCAUGA
RNAcentral lists this ribosomal RNA (2124 nucleotides) under Triticum aestivum (bread wheat). RNAcentral describes it as "partial small subunit ribosomal RNA". The record is from RNAcentral. Lineage: Eukaryota; Viridiplantae; Streptophyta; Magnoliopsida; Poales; Poaceae.